CGGGACACGUGGUAUCCUGUCUGAAUAUGGGGGGACCAUCCUCCAAGGCUAAAUACUCCUGACUGACCGAUAGUGAACCAGUACCGUGAGGGAAAGGCGAAAAGAACCCCGGCGAGGGGAGUGAAAAAGAACCUGAAACCGUGUACGUACAAGCAGUGGGAGCACGCUUAGGCGUGUGACUGCGUACCUUUUGUAUAAUGGGUCAGCGACUUAUAUUCUGUAGCAAGGUUAACCGAAUAGGGGAGCCGAAGGGAAACCGAGUCUUAACUGGGCGUUAAGUUGCAGGGUAUAGACCCGAAACCCGGUGAUCUAGCCAUGGGCAGGUUGAAGGUUGGGUAACACUAACUGGAGGACCGAACCGACUAAUGUUGAAAAAUUAGCGGAUGACUUGUGGCUGGGGGUGAAAGGCCAAUCAAACCGGGAGAUAGCUGGUUCUCCCCGAAAGCUAUUUAGGUAGCGCCUCGUGAAUUCAUCUCCGGGGGUAGAGCACUGUUUCGGCAAGGGGGUCAUCCCGACUUACCAACCCGAUGCAAACUGCGAAUACCGGAGAAUGUUAUCACGGGAGACACACGGCGGGUGCUAACGUCCGUCGUGAAGAGGGAAACAACCCAGACCGCCAGCUAAGGUCCCAAAGUCAUGGUUAAGUGGGAAACGAUGUGGGAAGGCCCAGACAGCCAGGAUGUUGGCUUAGAAGCAGCCAUCAUUUAAAGAAAGCGUAAUAGCUCACUGGUCGAGUCGGCCUGCGCGGAAGAUGUAACGGGGCUAAACCAUGCACCGAAGCUGCGGCAGCGACGCUGAUGCGUUGUUGGGUAGGGGAGCGUUCUGUAAGCCUGCGAAGGUGUGCUGUGAGGCAUGCUGGAGGUAUCAGAAGUGCGAAUGCUGACAUAAGUAACGAUAAAGCGGGUGAAAAGCCCGCUCGCCGGAAGACCAAGGGUUCCUGUCCAACGUUAAUCGGGGCAGGGUGAGUCGACCCCUAAGGCGAGGCCGAAAGGCGUAGUCGAUGGGAAACAGGUUAAUAUUCCUGUACUUGGUGUUACUGCGAAGGGGGGACGGAGAAGGCUAUGUUGGCCGGGCGACGGUUGUCCCGGUUUAAGCGUGUAGGCUGGUUUUCCAGGCAAAUCCGGAAAAUCAAGGCUGAGGCGUGAUGACGAGGCACUACGGUGCUGAAGCAACAAAUGCCCUGCUUCCAGGAAAAGCCUCUAAGCAUCAGGUAACAUCAAAUCGUACCCCAAACCGACACAGGUGGUCAGGUAGAGAAUACCAAGGCGCUUGAGAGAACUCGGGUGAAGGAACUAGGCAAAAUGGUGCCGUAACUUCGGGAGAAGGCACGCUGAUAUGUAGGUGAAGUCCCUCGCGGAUGGAGCUGAAAUCAGUCGAAGAUACCAGCUGGCUGCAACUGUUUAUUAAAAACACAGCACUGUGCAAACACGAAAGUGGACGUAUACGGUGUGACGCCUGCCCGGUGCCGGAAGGUUAAUUGAUGGGGUCAGCGCAAGCGAAGCUCUUGAUCGAAGCCCCGGUAAACGGCGGCCGUAACUAUAACGGUCCUAAGGUAGCGAAAUUCCUUGUCGGGUAAGUUCCGACCUGCACGAAUGGCGUAAUGAUGGCCAGGCUGUCUCCACCCGAGACUCAGUGAAAUUGAACUCGCUGUGAAGAUGCAGUGUACCCGCGGCAAGACGGAAAGACCCCGUGAACCUUUACUAUAGCUUGACACUGAACAUUGAGCAUUGAUGUGUAGGAUAGGUGGGAGGCUUUGAAGUGUGGACGCCAGUCUGCAUGGAGCCGACCUUGAAAUACCACCCUUUAAUGUUUGAUGUUCUAACGUUGACCCGUAAUCCGGGUUGCGGACAGUGUCUGGUGGGUAGUUUGACUGGGGCGGUCUCCUCCUAAAGAGUAACGGAGGAGCACGAAGGUUGGCUAAUCCUGGUCGGACAUCAGGAGGUUAGUGCAAUGGCAUAAGCCAGCUUGACUGCGAGCGUGACGGCGCGAGCAGGUGCGAAAGCAGGUCAUAGUGAUCCGGUGGUUCUGAAUGGAAGGGCCAUCGCUCAACGGAUAAAAGGUACUCCGGGGAUAACAGGCUGAUACCGCCCAAGAGUUCAUAUCGACGGCGGUGUUUGGCACCUCGAUGUCGGCUCAUCACAUCCUGGGGCUGAAGUAGGUCCCAAGGGUAUGGCUGUUCGCCAUUUAAAGUGGUACGCGAGCUGGGUUUAGAACGUCGUGAGACAGUUCGGUCCCUAUCUGCCGUGGGCGCUGGAGAACUGAGGGGGGCUGCUCCUAGUACGAGAGGACCGGAGUGGACGCAUCACUGGUGUUCGGGUUGUCAUGCCAAUGGCACUGCCCGGUAGCUAAAUGCGGAAGAGAUAAGUGCUGAAAGCAUCUAAGCACGAAACUUGCCCCGAGAUGAGUUCUCCCUGACUCCUUGAGAGUCCUGAAGGAACGUUGAAGACGACGACGUUGAUAGGCCGGGUGUGUAAGCGCAGCGAUGCGUUGAGCUAACCGGUACUAAUGAACCGUGAGGCUUAACCUUACAACGCCGAAG
Molecule: ribosomal RNA, 2539 nt
Filed under: Escherichia coli
Lineage: Bacteria; Pseudomonadati; Pseudomonadota; Gammaproteobacteria; Enterobacterales; Enterobacteriaceae
Description: partial 23S ribosomal RNA
Rfam family: Bacterial large subunit ribosomal RNA
Source: RNAcentral